This 527-nucleotide long non-coding RNA is filed under the name Brassica napus (rape). RNAcentral's name for it is "long non-coding RNA (BNAP_LNC007744)". Lineage: Eukaryota; Viridiplantae; Streptophyta; Magnoliopsida; Brassicales; Brassicaceae. The record is from RNAcentral.
CAAAUCAAGAUCACAACAGUAUAACGUUCACUUGAGACUUUGAGAGCUUGAACCACCAAAUACUGGAAGAAGACUAUGUGUAGAAAGACUCUUUGAAAAUGGUUAAAGAAGAGUGAGAAUCGGGAUCAGGUUGGAUCUAACCAUUGUUGUAGUCAACCAUUAUAGGAAACUUUUUUCAAGACUCACUGAGUCACUGUCGUCCUCAAAAACAGUAUGCUUAUUUAUCGGCCUCAACAAUUCAAGCGCCGUCAAACCUUCUCGCAACAACCACCACCAAACAACUCAUUGCCUCUCCCCAUCCACAGGCGAGGAAGCACCGAUCACCGUAAGCGGUCACAAGUAUGAGAAAUAGGAAUGAAACAUCUGUGAGAAAACAUGCAUGAUCCUUGCAUCCCAACCACCACAAAAGUCAAAACAACUCUGGAGACAUUAAGACACUCAUGAUCCACCACAUUGAUCUGCCAUUUAGAACAAUUCUAGCCCAAAGAUAAAGCGCUAGCCGAAAGAAAGAAAGAAGAAAGAGGUGG